UUAGAGCCAGCGCCUCUGCCAGA
Molecule: non-coding RNA, 23 nt
Filed under: Mus musculus (house mouse)
Lineage: Eukaryota; Metazoa; Chordata; Mammalia; Rodentia; Muridae
Source: RNAcentral